Molecule: ribosomal RNA, 254 nt
Filed under: uncultured bacterium
Lineage: Bacteria
Description: partial 16S ribosomal RNA
Rfam family: Bacterial small subunit ribosomal RNA
Source: RNAcentral
UACGUAGGGGGCGAGCGUUGUCCGGAUUUAUUGGGCGUAAAGAGCUCGUAGGCGGUUCGAUAAGUCGGACGUGAAAUCUCCACGCUCAACGUGGAGGGGCCGUUCGAUACUGUCGUGACUCGAGUCCGGUAGGGGAGUGUGGAAUUCCCGGUGUAGCGGUGAAAUGUGUAGAGAUCGGGAGGAACACCAGUGGCGAAGGCGACUACCUGGCCUGUUCUUGACGCUGAGGCGCGAAAGCUAGGGGAGCAAACGGG